This 381-nucleotide ribosomal RNA is filed under the name uncultured eukaryote. RNAcentral describes it as "partial 18S ribosomal RNA". It matches the Rfam family "Eukaryotic small subunit ribosomal RNA", at positions 592 to 976 of the family's 1831-position model. The record is from RNAcentral.
CAAUAGCGUAUAUUAAAGCUGUUGCGGUUAAAGAGCUCGUAGUUGGAUUUCUGUCAAGGACAACUGGUCCGCCCUCCGGGUGAGCACAUAGUUUGGUCUUGACAUCUUGCUGGAAGCUGUUGCUGCACUUGGCUGUGUGGCGCAGUGUUCAGCACUUUCACUUUGAGGAAAUUGGAGUGUUUCAAGCAGGCACAUGCCUUUGGACACAGUAGCAUGGAAUAAUUAGAUUGGGCUUUUGCUCCAAUUUGUCGGUUUCUGGAGCUGAGGUGAGUAUUAAUGGGGAUUGUUGGGGGCAUCCGAAUUUAGCCGUCAGAGGUGAAAUUCUUGGAUCUGCUAAAGACGGACAACUGCGAAAGCGUUUGCCCAGGAUGUUUUCAUUGA